GAAAUGCGAUAAGUAAUGUGAAUUGCAGAAUUCAGUGAAUCAUCGAAUCUUUGAAUGCAUAUUGCGCCCGCCAGCACUCUGGCGGGCAUGCCUGUUCGAGCGUCAUUUCAACCCUCAGAACCCCUUGCGGGAUCUGGCGUUGGGGAUUGGCAUCCAGCCAGCCCCGAAAUCUAGUGGCGGUCCCUCCGCGACCUCCCCUGUGCAGUAGCGAUACCUCGCAGCGGGACAGCGGUCUGACCACGCCGUAAAACCCCCAACUUCUCAAGGUUGACCUCGAAUCAGGUAGGAAUACCCGCUGAACUUAAGC
Molecule: unclassified non-coding RNA, 307 nt
Filed under: plant metagenome
Description: partial contains 5.8S ribosomal RNA, internal transcribed spacer 2, and large subunit ribosomal RNA
Rfam family: 5.8S ribosomal RNA (bases 1-105)
Source: RNAcentral